AGUUCGCCAUUAAACGACCUUGACCUCUUUUCGCUAACUUCUCAGUUUUCUGAUUUUGUUUCUUGAUAAGGGCUCUUUUGUUGCGAUACUGUGCAUAUUUUACGGGAACAGGGACUAGACGGUAGUUAGGUACUAGGACUAGAUAGGUAUUUGUGUUCUCGUUGUUUUGACUGAAGUGCAGUUUCGAGUUUGCAUUGUGAUUGUCUAUGCGAAGAAAGUGGUGUAGGCCUAGGCCUAUCAGCACAUGGAAAUGGUGAUCAAGGCGCUGUUAAAAAGUUCACAAAUGUCUACAAAAACAGGUGUCCCUUUAGUCAUGUUAGUCUCUUUUUGAAAAUGUCCACAGACUCUGAUUCCCUGAAGUUCCUUAGAAAUUCAUUCCAGAGUCUGGGUGAACUGACACUAAAGGCCUUGUCACAACCACAACGUUUGGCUACAGGCACGGCCAUCAGCAAUUGUUCAGCUGAACGAAGUGACCGCCCUGGUUUGUACACAGUCAGAAGAUCCUUGAUGUAGCUGGGAGCCUGGCCAUUCAAGGCCUUGAAUGGAAAGUCAGCAGCAGAACCUUGAACGGGACUGCACAGGCAGCCAAUGAAAGUAAUGGGGGAGGUUUUGGAUGAUGGGACGAUCCAUGUGCUUCCAUAUUGUGACGGCAACGGCUGCUGUGUCAUCAUCUUACGGCCCGAGGUACUUGGAUCUACUUGAGAAGCGGUACCCGUUGUAUGACGUCAUAAGGCCGAUGCUAUAUUAAAUAAUACCUCCAUGGUCCAGACCCCCACCAGCUUCACCAGACCAGAGCGGGUUGUCCUCCUCUGUACCGGCCUGAAGUGCCUCGAGCAGAUGAAGGUCCGGAAGUAUGCCAGCAUGCUUCAUGGAAGGAUAGUCACUGAAUUCCCACCUGAAGUGAGUCAUGUGAACAGUGAAGGGAUGUGCGCGCGAACUCUCAAGUACCUGAACGCAGUCCUCCUGGGAAAAUGAAUCCUGAACUGAUGUUAUCCCAAAUGACACAACUGUUCCUUAUCACGCCAAAUCAGGGAUCGUAUCUGGCUGAUUGUUGUUACUUCAUCAUUCACGAUCUAAAGGAUAAGAUUAAGAUGCAGCGUCACUUCCGGGUGUGUACAGCCCUGACAACUUGGUUCAUGGAAUGCAUCACUGGGUUUGAACUGCUUGAUCUACCAGAAGGUAACGCAGACUGAACUUGUGAGCUGCACCAUCGCAGACAUCAUAUUGGAUUGAUGUUUGUGAUAUAUAACAUGUACAAUAGUCAUUUUCUAACAAAUUAUAUUCUACACUCUAAAAGUAUGUAUUGUUUCACUCACUACCAAUAUCAUUUUUCCUGCACGUCA
This is a long non-coding RNA of Lineus longissimus, 1343 nucleotides long. RefSeq lists it as uncharacterized. The transcript has 3 exons. NCBI's taxonomy places the organism in Eukaryota, Metazoa, Nemertea, Pilidiophora, Heteronemertea, Lineidae. The record is from RefSeq and is a predicted model, not a curated record.